UAGGGAAUCUUCCACAAUGGACGCAAGUCUGAUGGAGCAACGCCGCGUGAGUGAAGAAGGUUUUCGGAUCGUAAAGCUCUGUUGUUGGUGAAGAAGGAUAGAGGUAGUAACUGGCCUUUAUUUGACGGUAAUCAACCAGAAAGUCACGGCUAACUACGUGCCAGCAGCCGCGGUAAUACGUAGGUGGCAAGCGUUGUCCGGAUUUAUUGUGCGUAAAGCGAGCGCAGGCGGAAGAAUAAGUCUGAUGUGAAAGCCCUCGGCUUAACCGAGGAACUGCAUCGGAAACUGGUUUUCUUGAGUGCAGAAGAGGAGAGUGGAAUUCCAUGUGUAGCGGUGGAAUGCGUAGAUAUAUGGAAGAACACCAGUGGCGAAGGCGACUCUCUGGUCUGCAACUGACGCUGAGGCUCGAAAGCAUGGGUAGCGAACAGG
This 429-nucleotide ribosomal RNA is filed under the name bacterium. RNAcentral's name for it is "partial 16S ribosomal RNA". It matches the Rfam family "Bacterial small subunit ribosomal RNA", at positions 355 to 776 of the family's 1533-position model. The record is from RNAcentral.